CACUUACUCCCUUCGUGCGAAAAUACUCGUCGGAGGAAUGGAUAUAUCUAGAUAUAUUUUAGUUCUAGAUACAUUCAUUUCUAUGCAUUUUUCUACAAGUAUUUUCGAACAAAGGGAGUACAUU
This is a non-coding RNA of Triticum aestivum (bread wheat), 124 nucleotides long. Lineage: Eukaryota; Viridiplantae; Streptophyta; Magnoliopsida; Poales; Poaceae. The record is from Rfam.